RNAcentral lists this ribosomal RNA (442 nucleotides) under uncultured Bacillota bacterium. RNAcentral's name for it is "bacterial SSU rRNA". It matches the Rfam family "Bacterial small subunit ribosomal RNA", at positions 917 to 1359 of the family's 1533-position model. Lineage: Bacteria; Bacillati; Bacillota. The record is from RNAcentral.
GGGCCCGCACAAGCGGUGGAGCAUGUGGUUUAAUUCGAAGCAACGCGAAGAACCUUACCAGGGCUUGACAUCCCGUGCAUAGUCUAGAGAUAGAUGAAGUCCUUCGGGACACGGAGACAGGUGGUGCAUGGUUGUCGUCAGCUCGUGUCGUGAGAUGUUGGGUUAAGUCCCGCAACGAGCGCAACCCUUAUUGUUAGUUGCUAGCAGGUCAAGCUGAGCACUCUAACGAGACUGCCGAAGAUAAUUCGGAGGAAGGUGGGGAUGACGUCAAAUCAUCAUGCCCUUUAUGUCCUGGGCUACACACGUGCUACAAUGGCAAUAACAAAGGGGAGCUAAAGUGUGAACUGGAGCAAAUCCCGAAAAAAUUGUCUUAGUUCGGAUUGCAGUCUGCAACUCGACUGCAUGAAGUCGGAAUCGCUAGUAAUCGCGAAUCAGAAUGUCG